RNAcentral lists this unclassified non-coding RNA (329 nucleotides) under soil metagenome. RNAcentral's name for it is "partial contains 5.8S ribosomal RNA, internal transcribed spacer 2, and large subunit ribosomal RNA". The stretch from base 1 to 120 matches the Rfam family "5.8S ribosomal RNA", at positions 35 to 154 of the family's 154-position model. The record is from RNAcentral.
GAUGAAGAACGUAGCGAAAUGCGAUAAGUAAUGUGAAUUGCAGAAUUCAGUGAAUCAUCGAAUCUUUGAACGCACAUUGCGCCCCCUGGUAUUCCGGGGGGCAUGCCUGUCCGAGCGUCAUUACAACCCUCAAGCUCAGCUUGGUAUUGGGCCCCGCCGCUCCGGCGGGCCCUAAAGUCAGUGGCGGUGCCGUCCGGCUCCGAGCGUAGUAAUUCUUCUCGCUCUGGAGGUCCGGUCGUGUGCUCGCCAGCAACCCCCAAUUUUUUUCAGGUUGACCUCGGAUCAGGUAGGGAUACCCGCUAAACUUAAGCAUAUCAAUAAGCGGAGGA